RNAcentral lists this ribosomal RNA (440 nucleotides) under uncultured bacterium. RNAcentral's name for it is "partial 16S ribosomal RNA". It matches the Rfam family "Bacterial small subunit ribosomal RNA", at positions 338 to 795 of the family's 1533-position model. The record is from RNAcentral.
CCUACGGGUGGCAGCAGUGGGGGAUAUUGCACAAUGGGGGAAACCCUGAUGCAGCGACGCCGCGUGGGUGAAGAAGCGCCUCGGCGCGUAAAGCCCUGUCAGCAGGGAAGAAAAUGACGGUACCUGAAGAAGAAGCCCCGGCUAACUACGUGCCAGCAGCCGCGGUAAUACGUAGGGGGCAAGCGUUAUGCGGAUUUACUGGGUGUAAAGGGGGCGCAGACGGCGAUGCAAGCCAGGAGUGAAAGCCCGGGGCCCAACCCCGGGACUGCUCUUGGAACUGCGUGGCUAGAGUGCAGGAGGGGCAGGCGGAAGUCGGGGUGUAGCGGUGAAAUGCGUAGAUAUCAGGAGGAACACCGGUGGCGAAGGCGGCCUGCUGGACUGCAACUGACGUUGAGGCCCGAAAGCGUGGGGAGCAAACAGGAUUAGAUACCCCAGUAGUC